RNAcentral lists this ribosomal RNA (264 nucleotides) under uncultured Staphylococcus sp. RNAcentral's name for it is "partial 16S ribosomal RNA". It matches the Rfam family "Bacterial small subunit ribosomal RNA", at positions 96 to 354 of the family's 1533-position model. Lineage: Bacteria; Bacillati; Bacillota; Bacilli; Caryophanales; Staphylococcaceae. The record is from RNAcentral.
CGGCGGACGGGUGAGUAACACGUGGGUAACCUACCUAUAAGACUGGGACAACUUCGGGAAACCGGAGCUAAUACCGGAUAAGAUAUCGAACCGCAUGGUUCGAUAGUGAAAGAUGGUUUUGCUAUCACUUAUAGAUGGACCCGCGCCGUAUUAGCUAGUUGGUGAGGUAACGGCUCACCAAGGCAACGAUACGUAGCCGACCUGAGAGGGUGAUCGGCCACACUGGAACUGAGACACGGUCCAGACUCCUACGGAGGCAGCAGA